GUAGGUGAACCUGCGGAAGGAUCAUUACUGAAGUGAGUCUUCAUCAUUGAAGCUUCUUCCCAUUGUGCUGGCUUUGACCGUAUGUAAUGUUGGGGAUUAAACAUGGUUAAAAUUUCUUUUAGCCGUCCCCAGCAAGUUAUCUUAUCCUUUAUUAAAUUGAACUGAACUCAUUUUGAGAUUACAUAAAAAAUAAUCUUUUAAUACAACUUUCAACAACGGAUCUCUUGGUUCUC
Molecule: unclassified non-coding RNA, 233 nt
Filed under: rhizosphere metagenome
Description: partial ribosomal RNA internal transcribed spacer region
Source: RNAcentral